Molecule: RNA transcript, 4087 nt
Organism: Poecile atricapillus (Black-capped chickadee)
Lineage: Eukaryota; Metazoa; Chordata; Aves; Passeriformes; Paridae
Gene: STX1A
Gene name: syntaxin 1A
Exons: 10
Source: RefSeq, a predicted model, not a curated record
CCGCCCCUCCCCGCGCUCUGCCCGUUCCCAGCGGCGGCGGCAGCGGGGCGAGGAUGAAGGACCGGACCGGGGAGCUGCGCGCUGCAAAGGACAGUGAUGAUGACGAUGAAGUCACCGUCAGCGUGGACCGGGAUCGUUUCAUGGACGAGUUCUUUGAGCAGGUGGAAGAAAUUCGAGGCUUCAUCGAUAAAAUUUCGGAAAAUGUGGAAGAAGUGAAAAGGAAGCACAGCGCCAUUCUCGCUUCACCCAACCCUGAUGAAAAAACGAAAGAGGAGCUGGAAGAGCUGAUGUCUGACAUAAAGAAGACGGCGAACAAAGUGCGCUCCAAGCUAAAGAGCAUUGAGCAGAGUAUUGAACAAGAGGAAGGACUGAACAGGUCAUCGGCUGACCUGCGGAUAAGGAAAACUCAGCACUCCACACUGUCCCGCAAGUUCGUGGAGGUGAUGUCCGAGUACAACGCCACGCAGACUGACUACCGGGAGCGCUGCAAGGGCAGGAUCCAGAGGCAGCUGGAGAUCACUGGCAGGACCACCACCAGCGAGGAGCUGGAGGACAUGCUGGAGAGCGGCAACCCGGCCAUCUUCUCCUCUGGGAUCAUCAUGGAUUCAAACAUCACCAAGCAGGCGCUGAAUGAGAUUGAGACACGGCACAGUGAGAUCAUCAAACUGGAGAACAGCAUCCGAGAGCUGCACGACAUGUUCAUGGACAUGGCCAUGCUGGUGGAGAGCCAGGGCUGCUGGGCAGGGCAGCAUCCACUCGGAGCCAGGGAGCAGCAGAGCAGGAAGGAGCUCACGUCUGCGUGCGCGUGGGCGCGUGGGCUGUGUCCUCCUCCUGCAGGGAGAAAUGAUUGACCGCAUCGAGUACAACGUGGAGCACUCGGUGGACUAUGUGGAGCGGGCUGUGUCCGACACCAAAAAAGCGGUGAAGUACCAGAGCAAAGCCAGACGGAAGAAGAUCAUGAUCAUAAUCUGCUGUGUGAUCCUGGGCAUCGUCAUCGCCUCCACCUUCGGCGGCAUUUUCGGCUAGACUCACCCCACAGGACUGUUUGUGUGCGAUGGAUGGAGCCGCGCGUGCCAUGGGGCUGCAGCCACACUGGAGCAACCCACGCAGCCCCGGAGCCUCCCAGCAGCAUUUCAGUUUCUAAUGCAUGGUUGUUUGUGACGCUGUGUGUGCGGUGCGGUGCGUCUGUGUGGAGGGAGCUCCAGCCCCGGGGCGCAGGCGGGGGGCAAGCGAUGGUGAUGGGCGCAAGGGGGACCCUGGGGGGGAAACCCAAGCUCUCAUCACUGCUCCAGGCUGGGUGGCUGGCUGGGACCAGGAGGGAGACACAAGUGACUUUGGGCACUGCUGCUCAUCCUGUGAUGGGCGGUGUUAGUGACAGCUGAGGAGGAGGGGCCGAUGGUGGGUGUUAGGGGUCCUUGGGAGUACGGUGCCCAGUCAACCUCCCCAGCUUGCCCAUCACCUCCAACUCUCAUGUCUGUCAGCCGCAUCUGUGCUUGCAAACACCUUCCCUCGGGCUGCUUCUCUUCGGGGCCCUUCCCCAGGGGUGUGCUCUGCCCAGCCCUGCCUGGCCAGUGACUGUGUCUGGCUCUGGGGCUCCAUCCCUGCCACUCCUCCGGUGGCAGGGCUGUCCCCUCCCUCCGUGAGCCCUCACCCCAGCAGGGUGCCAAAGGCUGGAUGUGCCACUGCAGCUGGUGGGUGCCUGAUGGAGCACUGUGGAAUAAGGGGCUGCUGCUUGGGGCCAUCACACUUGCCUGGGGACAGGAAUAGGGCACGUGAGGGUUAGUGCUGCUCCUGGCUGCUGGCCUGACAGGGCAGGAUGGCACAGAUAGUCUAAGGCCAGUGAAUUUGCUGCUCAUGCUGCAGCACACCCUCAUUGCAGUGCUCUCAGCCCUGGCACACGGUGGUCCUGGCUCCUGUUGCCCACAGGCCAGGACUCUGCCCGCCGGGGUUUGGGGCUGUUGCUGAUGUCCACAGCCCCUGGCAGCACCCACCUGCAAGCAGGGCUGCUCCAGCCUUGCUUUUCCACACCCAUGGCCGGGGGUUAGAAGCAGCUGGGCUUUCUCCUGUUGUGGUCCCAGGAGCAGCCCUUGCUGCAUCCAGCCCCCUGCAGGCGAGUAAGAGGAGCCUUCCUCCUCCUCCUGUACCCAGUCUGGUUGUGAACAGGCCAGUGCCUGUUCACCUGUUUGCCACCUCCUGGCAUCCUGCUGCUCCUGGCACCUGCCCUUCUGCCCAGCCAUCCAGUGAGGCACCUGCUCUCAGAGGGGUGCUGUGGGACAACCUGGGGGUCCUGUGCUGUGCCCACAACACAGAUGCAGCUGCUGUGGGGCCCAAGCCCAUUGGCAGCUCAGGGGAGUCAUUGCCUGUUUCCCUCAGGCUAGGGACAGGGCUCUGCCCUCCCCUUCCUCUGGAGACCCCAGGGCUCUGGCUGGCCUGUGCACAUGCCAGAGCACCACAGAGGAGUCCCAAGGUAGGCUGGGCUCGCUGCCACACUGGGACAGGGGCUGGCUGGCAGGUGCUGGUAGCAGAAAAGGGACCCUGGAUGGCAGCCAGUGUUCCAGCCUCGGGCAGCAUCACCUCCCAGCUCCCACCAGCACCAGGGCAGGUGCUGUGGCUCAGGCACUGGCUGUGUGUGGUACCCCUGGGUGCAGGGGAAAGGCAGUGGCUGCAGCCCCAGAGUGCUGCCUCCCCCAGGGCCAGCCCUGCCCAGCAGCAGCCCUGACACGGCUUCUCCUCUGCCACUGUAACCCGAGGUCCCCCCUACAGCCCCUUGUUGCAUGCAGCUGCCCUUGGGAAGUGGGUCCAGCCUGGUUCCCCACACUGCCCAGCCCAAGCCCCUCAGGGUGCAGCCACGGGAACACCCCAGAGCAGAGCCCCCUUCUUUCACAGUCCCACACCGAGCCACGUGAGCUCCAGCACUGCAGCCUGCGUGCACUGAAGGGCUUGGGGCACCAGGACCGUGCAGGCAGGGGUGGGAGGCAGGCAAGGGCAGGGUCUCUGCUCCAGGGGGACACGUCUGGCUGCAGGAAAAGGGAGUAGCCAUGCUUCUGUCCCUCAGCAGCUCCCUGCCACUGCCAUCCACGCUUGCUCUGCCAGGCCAGCAAGAGCCCCGGGGCCCCUCCAGGAAGCAAUAACACUGGGCAGGCAGGAAAACCCUCCUGCCAGGCUCCUGCCCUGCAGCCAUGCUCCUGCCCUGCAGCCAUGCCCACUGCUAGCACAAGGUGACUUCUUUUUCUUCCAGGCAGCGGCUUUAGUGGCACAAGCUCACCUGACAUCAGGGCUCUGGCACCCUGUCAAGGCACAAGGCCAGGAACUGCACUGGGGGGAAUUCUUGGCCCUUGCUCCUUGUUGGCACCACCACUGCCAGCAGCCCCCACAGCAGCACCAGUCGGACGGGGCCAGUCAGGGCCACUGGCACUUUGCUGGGUGGAUCCUGUGGGCAGCAGCAGCGCUGGGCUCCAAAGCAAGGGAGAUGAGGAACAGCUGCCCCACAGGCAGGCUCACACUGUCCUCGCUGUGAGGGGAGGGUGUUUUGGUGCAAUAAUUACCCCUGCACUACGGGAAGCCCCAUUGAGUUCCUUUUCACCUACCUGUCGUUGCAUGUACAGACCAAAUCACCAAGUGUGGUUGUGCUUUGGGAAGACGUUUCACCUUUUCUUUCCAGCCCCCCCAACCUGCACCCGCUUGUCCUUUGGGUUCCACCACCUCUGUUCCAAGUGCCACCCGCCCUCCCCACGCCGGGAGCGUGUUGAUGCAGUAUUCCAUGAGCAGUGUGGGGCACGCACAGCUUGCACUCGAACUGGGGAUUGGUUUUUUUUUUUUUUUGUAAUUAAUGUACUUGAAGGCUUUCCGAGCCCCCCGUGGAGUUCUACUGUUGCUGUACUGUGAGCUAAGUGUCCUUGUUUUCUAUGUGGAUCUUGACCCUGGCUUGCUCUGUCUCACUGGGCUGGAUGACACUGUAUGUUGCCUCUCUUCUCCUUCCCCUCUUUCCCUCCCUGCUAGCAUUCCUUUCUUCUCCCAAGGCUUUGGGUGCAAAACAGCUUCCCAUUUUGUGGAAUUUUUAUGUAGAAUAAACAUUUGUAACUGUAAA